CCUACGGGGUGCAGCAGUGGGGAAUAUUGCACAAUGGGCGCAAGCCUGAUGCAGCCAUGCCGCGUGUAUGAAGAAGGCCUUAGGGUUGUAAAGUACUUUCAGUUGGGAGGAAGGCGUUGAUGCUAAUAUCAUCAACGAUUGACGUUGCCAACAGAAGAAGCACCGGCUAACUCCGUGCCAGCAGCCGCGGUAAUACGGAGGGUGCAAGCGUUAAUCGGAAUUACUGGGCGUAAAGCGCACGCAGGCGGUUGAUUAAGUUAGAUGUGAAAUCCCCGGGCUUAACCUGGGAAUGGCAUCUAAGACUGGUCAGCUAGAGUCUUGUAGAGGGGGGUAGAGUUCCAUGUGUAGCGGUGAAAUGCGUAGAGAUGUGGAGGAAUACCGGUGGCGAAGGCGGCCCCCUGGACAAAGACUGACGCUCAGGUGCGAAAGCGUGGGGAGCAAAUAGGAUUAGAUACCCUCGUAGUC
Molecule: ribosomal RNA, 465 nt
Filed under: uncultured bacterium
Lineage: Bacteria
Description: bacterial SSU rRNA
Rfam family: Bacterial small subunit ribosomal RNA
Source: RNAcentral